CCUGCAGAACGAGGUGGAGGAGGUGGUUCUGCUCAGCAGUUAGCAGUGGCCACAUCUCCACCUGCAGCUUCUUGAUGCCUUCAGUAUCCUUUUCGUGGG
Molecule: non-coding RNA, 99 nt
Organism: Rattus norvegicus (Norway rat)
Lineage: Eukaryota; Metazoa; Chordata; Mammalia; Rodentia; Muridae
Source: Rfam